UGGGGAAUAUUGGACAAUGGGCGCAAGCCUGAUCCAGCAAUGCCGCGUGGAUGAUGAAGGCCUUAGGGUUGUAAAGUCCUUUCGGCGGGGACGAUGAUGACGGUACCCGCAGAAGAAGCCCCGGCUAACUUCGUGCCAGCAGCCGCGGUAAUACGAAGGGGGCUAGCGUUGUUCGGAAUUACUGGGCGUAAAGGGCGCGUAGGCGGCCCUCCAAGUCAGAUGUGAAAGCCCCGGGCUUAACCUGGGAAUUGCAUUUGAGACUGUGGGGCUUGAGUUUCGGAGAGGUGGGUGGAAUUCCCAGUGUAGAGGUGAAAUUCGUAGAUAUUGGGAAGAACACCGGUGGCGAAGGCGGCCCACUGGACGAACACUGACGCUGAGGCGCGAAAGCGUGGGGAGCAAACAGGAUUAGAUACCCCCGUAGUCC
This 424-nucleotide ribosomal RNA is filed under the name uncultured bacterium. RNAcentral's name for it is "bacterial SSU rRNA". It matches the Rfam family "Bacterial small subunit ribosomal RNA", at positions 355 to 796 of the family's 1533-position model. The record is from RNAcentral.